UUCAAAAGCAAAAAAUAACUUAAAUAUCAUUUUGAUCAAAUUAUAAGCUUACCCAAACACUCUUAAUAGCCUCCAACGCGUCUGUCAAACACAGAAGCACGCAUCUUGUUUUUCCCAAGAAAACCAGCGUAUGGUCCUUUCAGAUUACCCAAAAACUCACCAAGAACAUUUUCCUUCUUCUCCAUUCUCUCUCCCUCAUCUAUCACCACCAAAAAAAUGGAAACCCUAAGACCUCUGUAGUUGCCGUCGACUGCCACCCUUACCACGCGGGAAUCUCUAUUUCUCAUCACCCAUCAACUCGUGAAUCCACAAAACACCAAAAAAGCAAGCCCCAAAUUCAUACAACAGAAUAAAAUCAUUUGGACCUUAAUGUCCGAAUUUAUGCCUAUAAAUGGUGACUUCUCCAUUCUCAUGUGAGGACAAGGUUGCAGAUCCGUGAGAAAGGAAAAAAAAAAGAGAUAAAUCGAGAGGAAAGAAGCGAGAGAGGUAUAAAAGAGGCUUAACUUUGGAGAAAAAAUAGAGAGAAAGGCAAAGAAAGGAGGCCAAAAUUGAAAAAAAAAGAAAACAAAAAAAGGUUGAAAAGGGGCUGGAAACAGGUUUGAAAUUGAGAAUAAGAAGAGUGAAAAAAUCUGUGAAUUAAGUUUCGGAAAGACAGAAAAGGGGGUUGAAAAACCAGAAGUUUUUUUAUUUUUUUAUUUCAAUUGUCGAUACAGAUUCGGAGUUUCGAGUUUAGUUCUUCGUCCAAAGUAUCCUGACGUCGAAGCCGAGUUUGCUGCCCAAAAUAAGAUUCACAUAUUCAGGUAUAAUACAAACAAGAUUCACAUAUUCAGGUAUAACUCAUUCCAUCUCACAAAUUCUGUUGUUGUCUUAAUAUUUUCUGCUAUUUGAAUAUAUUUUAAUUUUUGUUGCUCAUAACUAACCUUCUUUAUUUAUCCACCUACCAACAAGAUUCACGUAUUCAUGUAUAAUUCUUUUCAUCUCACAAUUUUACCUCUAAAAAGUUUACCUCUAUUAUCAUACUAUACGUUUUUGUUGUCCUAACCUUCACGAAUGAUUUCUUAAAGAUUGUCUUACGAUAGAUUCUAUCACCGAAGUUGUGGGAAUCAACACGUUGAAGCCAAACGAGUGUAUCUAAAUGAUCAAAGUCUUGGUCAUCGAAAGCGGGCCAACGAAAUCGUUUAAGAAUGAAGAUGGCUUCCAAAAAACGGCGAUAUUAAUUGACGAGGAGAUAUAUUUGACAUCUUCAUAAGUUCUAUACUCUUCACAAAAGGCGCAACUCGAAUAGAGAUGUAACUUAUGAAUGAGGAGUGUGAUCGAAAAAUUAUUACAUUAUGGUGCAAAUUGUCAAUAGAAGAUGCGCUUCUACGGAAAAUUCUGUCGGAGCAUUUUGUGAUUUAAGGACUAAACUAUAUCAAGAAAAUUUUGGACUAUCUUCUACCUAUAUCAGUAGUAUGUGGAUAGACUCCACAUUUGAAAAAGCAACAUCUCUCCUACAAUGGUCUAUUUCUCAGAAAAAAACUCACAAAGAUAUUACUCUACUACCAAGUAAAUAAAUUAAAAGGGCAAAAGAAAUGACAAUUGGUGAAAUUGUAGAUCGUUUGUCCUGUGAUAAAGAGGUUGAAUAUGGCAAGUUUACUGCAGCUAUUGUAGCUACAGCGAAUGUUAAUGACCUCUACUAUGAUGCUUGCACUAAUUGCUAUAAAAAAGUUAACAUCAACGAUAAUAUUGCAAAAUGUCCUGACUUCCCCACGGGAAAAAUUACUUACGAGGACAGGUUCUGAAAAUACACAGUUACUUUAGAUUCAAUUACUGCCCAAGACAUUGCAUUUGUUCAAUUAUUUACUUUUAGUUCUUGACAUAUGUAUCUUGGCCUAAAACACAUAGGUUUGUCUAUGUAGACAAUGCAUAUUAAUUUUAUGCACAUAAAACAAACAUGUUAAUAAAGUUGGCACUCACUUUCUGAUCUA
Molecule: RNA transcript, 1967 nt
Organism: Capsicum annuum
Lineage: Eukaryota; Viridiplantae; Streptophyta; Magnoliopsida; Solanales; Solanaceae
Exons: 8
Source: RefSeq, a predicted model, not a curated record